AAUGUCAAACCUUACUGCGUUUAACGAAUCCUUCUACAAUAUUCCUGUGGUAUGGUCAUCAGCCUCUACCAAAACACUUUGGUCCUGGAACAUAGUAGGCCUUCAAGCAACAUUUUUGAAUGAACGAUCUCC
This is a non-coding RNA of Microcebus murinus (gray mouse lemur), 132 nucleotides long. NCBI's taxonomy places the organism in Eukaryota, Metazoa, Chordata, Mammalia, Primates, Cheirogaleidae. The record is from RefSeq and is a predicted model, not a curated record.